Molecule: transfer RNA, 69 nt
Filed under: Drepanidotaenia lanceolata
Lineage: Eukaryota; Metazoa; Platyhelminthes; Cestoda; Cyclophyllidea; Hymenolepididae
Description: tRNA-Thr
Source: RNAcentral
GGUUAGGUUAUUUAGUUUAAGUAAAAUGUGGGUUUUGUAAGUCCAAGAUAGCAUAUUUGCUUUUAACCU